AGUGAAAAUCUUGGAUGGCCAAGCUGAAGUUGGAAUGCGAGAAGUAUUGAAGAGAAACAGUCAUGAAAUGGUGCUCUGCAAAGAGCUGAAGGUUUUCAGGUAAAAAACAAUGUGGAAUUGCUUGCUAAAUCUAUUAAGAAACAAGAUGAAGUCAAAUCAGAUAGUAAAAAGAAGUUGGCGGAACCCAUCGAUGAAUAGGAAAAGAGAAAGGAAUAACAACAGAAAACGAGAAAAGCCAACAUUAAGAAAAAGAAAACUGAAAAGAAAGAACAUAAACUGAAUGAACACCUCACACCUAACAGGGAAAAAGCUGGAAUUGUCUGAUAAGACAACGAAAAUCAAACUUAAACGGAAGUUAGAGGGGAUGAAGAAGAAAUUAAAAAGGAAAAAUAAGAAGAAGAGGUCCUGAAUUGCCAAAC
Long non-coding RNA from Daphnia carinata, 419 nucleotides. RefSeq lists it as uncharacterized. Lineage: Eukaryota; Metazoa; Arthropoda; Branchiopoda; Diplostraca; Daphniidae. The transcript has 3 exons. The record is from RefSeq and is a predicted model, not a curated record.